GGUCAUGUCGCUCAGUGGUAGAAUCCCUGCUUAGCACGCAGGAGGCCCUGGGUUCGAUCCCCAGCACCA
RNAcentral lists this transfer RNA (69 nucleotides) under Fukomys damarensis (Damara mole-rat). It matches the Rfam family "tRNA". Rfam says of the family: Transfer RNA (tRNA) molecules are approximately 80 nucleotides in length. Their secondary structure includes four short double-helical elements and three loops (D, anti-codon, and T loops). Lineage: Eukaryota; Metazoa; Chordata; Mammalia; Rodentia; Bathyergidae. The record is from Rfam by way of RNAcentral.